GUAACGGCUGCAAGAGAGAAAAAAAA
RNAcentral lists this small RNA (26 nucleotides) under Arabidopsis thaliana (thale cress). Its description in RNAcentral is "ATSL139430". The record is from RNAcentral. Lineage: Eukaryota; Viridiplantae; Streptophyta; Magnoliopsida; Brassicales; Brassicaceae.